UGACGCUUUACAUUGGACUUCAAGAAAACACAUCAGGGGAUAAAAAUAGUUUCAAAACAGAUUACGGAUAUUAAUUUCUUUAAGAAAAUCAAUGCUGUUGAUGAAAUUAACAUUAAUGCUUUUGCUACUUCUUCUUUGUGGACUAAAUACCCGAGCACAAAGAAAACCAUGUACCAGAGGGUCUUGUGGAACUCUAAGUUGUUGCAGUGGAUAUUAUUGCAGACACGUUGGAGUUGCUCGUCCAAGAUGUUAUGCGCGCACCUGAGUGCUGUUUAUGCUACAAAUUAGCGACGCACAUCUGAAAAAUCUUAUUUACUGGAUAGUCUUAUCAUAAAUUUAUAACAACUUGUAAAACAA
Physella acuta is the source of this 357-nucleotide long non-coding RNA. RefSeq lists it as uncharacterized. NCBI's taxonomy places the organism in Eukaryota, Metazoa, Mollusca, Gastropoda, Physidae. The record is from RefSeq and is a predicted model, not a curated record.